RNAcentral lists this ribosomal RNA (668 nucleotides) under Veillonella sp. C535. RNAcentral's name for it is "bacterial SSU rRNA". It matches the Rfam family "Bacterial small subunit ribosomal RNA", at positions 59 to 697 of the family's 1533-position model. The record is from RNAcentral. Lineage: Bacteria; Bacillati; Bacillota; Negativicutes; Veillonellales; Veillonellaceae.
CAGNUGAACGGACAGACAGAAGAGCUUGCUCUCUUGAAGUUAGUGGCGAACGGGUGAGUAACGCGUAAUCAACCUGCCCNUUCAGAGGGGGAUAACAACGGGAAACCGUUGCUAAUACCGCGUACGAUUCACAGGCGGCAUCGCUUGUGAAUGAAAGGUGGCCUCUAUAUAUAAGCUAUCGCUGAAGGAGGGGAUUGCGUCUGAUUAGCUAGUUGGAGGGGUAACGGCCCACCAAGGCAAUGAUCAGUAGCCGGUCUGAGAGGAUGAACGGCCACAUUGGGACUGAGACACGGCCCAAACUCCUACGGGAGGCAGCAGUGGGGAAUCUUCCGCAAUGGACGAAAGUCUGACGGAGCAACGCCGCGUGAGUGAUGAAGGUCUUCGGAUUGUAAAGCUCUGUUAAUCGGGACGAAAGAGUUCUGUGUAAAUAAUGCAGAAAAGUGACGGUACCGGAAUAGAAAGCCACGGCUAACUACGUGCCAGCAGCCGCGGUAAUACGUAGGUGGCAAGCGUUGUCCGGAAUUAUUGGGCGUAAAGCGCGCGCAGGCGGCCUAUCCAGUCUGUCUUAAAAGUUCGGGGCUCAACCCCGUGAUGGGAUGGAAACUAGUAGGCUAGAGUAUCGGAGAGGAAAGCGGAAUUCCUAGUGUAGCGGUGAAAUGCGUAGAUAU